UCUUCCCGGACCGGGGCACGAACCCGUGUCCCCUGCAUCGGCAGGCGGACUCUCAACCACUGCGCCACCAGGGAAGCCCCGUCAUGGCGUUCUUUGGCCCUGAGGAAGGGGAACUUUUUGGGAUCACUUCCUUUGUCUAAUUGGUCCUGCAGCAGCGGGGCGCCUUUUUCUAAUCAGCGGAGGCACCCUUACUCAGCCAGUGGUAGUCCCAGGCCUCGUCACCUGUGGGAUAAAAGCCAUGCUCUCUCCCAGGCUUGCUUCUGCCAGCAUCUCUAUUUUCCUUUGUGUCUCUUCUCACACUUGGACCCCUGGCCUUUAGUCGUCCCCACCUGAAGUAUUUACAGUGCCCAGCAGGAGUCAGGCUUGAGUGUCUUUUCACAGAUGUUCCCUCUGCAGUUAAUGCACCUCCUACUCCAACUCUGCAUAGCCUCAUCUUUCUAGAUUCUACUUCAGGGUUCUCAUGAAGCUGUCACUUAGAUGUAACUUUUUGCCUCCAUAGGCACCUCUGUGCAUAAAGGUUAUGUUUAUUUAUCUCAUGUGAUUGAAAUUUUGAGUUUAUACAUCUUCCUCCUUAAUGAAGGCUUUAAGGGCAGGAGUCGUUUCUAAUCCUUAGCACAGAGCAGAUGCUUUUUUUCUUUUUAUUUAGGUGCUUUUUAAUGAUGAUAAAAUGUAUGGUUUAAACCACUCAUUUUACAAUAUUUUUGCUUUAGGUUGUGACAGAAAUGAAGUUUACAGAAGUCGUGUUCCUGCGAUAAGAAAUAAAGAUGUGACCUUCCAGUUGUGUAAAGCUCAUGAAGGCUGUGUAAGUGCAUCGGGUGCGCUAAGGAACCUGGAGCUAAGUGGGCUAGUUCUGAGAGAGAGAGACUUAACUAUGUUGACAAAAGUAAGCCUUCAUUGUGUCCUGCCAACCUUUGAUAGUUGCUUUUGGGGCAAACUAAAGCAAUAAAAUUUAAAACUGUUCCUCCCCAUUAAAGGGAUUGAAUAUUUGGCCACUUUGGUGAACCUGUGUCUUGCGAAUUGUCCAGUUGGAGACGGAGGUUUCGAAAUAUCAGACUACCAGAAGGCAUGAAGAAACCUGAGCUGAGAGUCUUCGUUCCAGGAGACCUGAUCUUGACUGUAUGCCUGGUUUGAGGCGCAUCGCUCUGAACUGCAACAAGCUCAUUGGUGACCUGGGUGCUCGUGCUUUUGCAGAAUCUCUUAGUGAGGAUUUAUGGCUUGGAGGCUUGGCCGCAAAGCAACCUGUAAGUAAUGGAAGGAAACACUCUGCUGGUAAAGAAUGUUAUGGUCCUGAACCUCUACCACCUGGUGUGUCUGGUUUCCAGCCGUGGCGUACUGCAGAACGUGCAAAAAGCAACAGGUAACGUGUUUGCAUUCCCUGUCUUUUUCAAUCAUUCAGAGUCCUUUAUUUUGGAACUUCUGUUAUGUGAGCGGUCUCUGGUGCUUUCUAUAGAGGAAAAAAGAUAACUCACACAUGGCUUCUGCCCAAUGAGCCCUCUAAGGAAGAAAAACAAAAGGUAAUUGGGAGUUUCAAGUUGUUUCUCAAGUGUCACAACAGAGCUAACCCCGUGGGAGUCUUGAGGAGACUAAAAUUAUCACCAAUUAUGCAUGUGAGGAAAGUUUCAUUAAAGGCAGGUGUAGUUGCGUGAAGCCCUACAGCACAGAAGUAGGAAUUUGGAUAUGUACGAAUGGGCAAAAAGACAUUUUAGACAGGGGAAAUAGUUUAAUACAGAAUGGAUGAAAAUUAUGCAUUAGACCUAUUCUAAAACAACUGGCUUAUUAACUCAGUAAAUCAGAUUUAGUGAGUCAAACUAGCUUUACCUGAUUUCUUAUCCAGGGGAUAGCUGUUCAUAGUAAUUUUUGUCACAGAACAGUAAAUAAAAUGGUUGAACUAUAGGUUUAGGCUUGCUAAGUGAAAUAGAUUGCUCUAGAUGAUUUUCAAGUGACUGACUUGGUAGUACUCACGAAAUUGGAGAUUAACAAUUGCUUAAGAAAACAAAGAGAAUUGAUUUUAAAUAGUACUUGAAGUAGUUACUGUGUAAAAUAUCUGUUCAGUAGCUCAUGUUAAAUGGAUGUUUAUAAUCCCCAUUGGACAACCGACUACUGUUUUGCAAAUGGUAAUGUGAAUUGCUGUUGCAUAAACUAUAGUGUUGAAUCCCCAGUCUUUGCACUUGAGUUUAGCAACUUUGUGGUUUCCUAUCUUCUUCCUGAGACACUUAAUCUCACAUCCAUCCUCCUCACACAGGGUGGUAAAUUAGAGAAUGAUUAAUGUCACCAUUUAAAGAAGUGAGACUGAAAUCUCAAGCAUCCUUAACAUAGGAACUGAAGGGGCCUCUCAGCAGUUCAGAGAGUUAUUACCGAGCCAGUCACCUGAA
Aethalodelphis obliquidens (Pacific white-sided dolphin) is the source of this 2372-nucleotide long non-coding RNA. RefSeq lists it as uncharacterized. NCBI's taxonomy places the organism in Eukaryota, Metazoa, Chordata, Mammalia, Artiodactyla, Delphinidae. The transcript is spliced from 3 exons. The record is from RefSeq and is a predicted model, not a curated record.